CUAAAAUAAAUCCCCGACCAUGUCUGUCCAGAGCAUUCUAAUGAAAUUAGACACACUGUAUCUGAAUUACUAUGAAUUUACCCACCGUACUUUUUACAUUGAAAUAAAAUAUAAAAUUUCCAAACGGUAAUUGUUCUAGGACGUGUCAAUGAAAAAACAUGCACUCAGCAUUGGGUAGCUGGACAAUCUAUGGUAAUGUUUGGAAUGUUUAUACCUUCAAACACCAAUCUGUACAAUCAAGGUUUCUAAUUAUGACCGGAAAUGUUUUUAAAAAUAAUGAGGUGGGAUACUUUUUCAACCUACUCCUGCUCAGACAAUGUAGAAGUUUCUUUCAUAGCAGCUGGUUAUCGGUGAACAGACAGGCGAAUUAAGAUUCCACAGGGCAUUAGACUGGUUAUUGCAUUGGGGGCCACAUUUCACCCAUGGUAAAUGAUAGUGAAUGGGGCAAAGCGUGGAGUUGUAUUUUCAUGCCACCCAGACCCUUGUCUCACCUCUGAGCACUGAGUUGCAAUCUUAUGAUUCAUCUGGUUGUGCAGAAUCUAUCCUUACUAGCCCAUGUGAUGGAUUGUCAUCAUUUGUGAUGGUUUUCAUUAAUAGAAACCCUGCAGCCUCUUCUAAAUGAUCAUCCAUGGAUUUCUUCCAUCUAAAUUCCCUCCUUAUUUGACCUGUGAAUGCUGUGAAGACCCACACCUGCUCUGUGGGACUGAAACAUGUGUACGUUGUUAUUUUAUCCUUGACAUGCUAAGAUGCAACUCCGUCUGCCAGGGACAAACUGUGAUAAGUGAUUGAACACUUUCCUUGGUCCAGCAAUGUACUCCCUGAUUACUCGACAGUGUUCACGCAUAUGUCUGUGUUCCUGAUAACUGAAAGAGACAAAAAAAUUAAUUUCUGAUCCUUUAUUUUAUAUGCCGCCUGAAACAAAGUCUAAAAUUAAAUCUUCAGUGUAUUAGACACAGUCUGAAAGUAACAGUUUUUAACAUCAUAUUGUCCAAACUGUUCUCUGACACUUUCUUUGUUAUUUGAUCAGUACCUGCUAACCUGCAAUCGUAAAGUGGAUCGCUUAUGCAAACACCCCCAAAGGUGACAACGGUUAGGGUCCAGUGGCCACAGGGUGCAAUGAAAGGUAGGCUUAACAGCCUGAAGUUAUCCCUUGUGACCACCUCCACCACCAUAUUCUUUCUGCAGACCUCGUUUGGCUCCUGGUGUUUCAUCUGUUAUGGGCCACGUCAGUCUAUAUUUGUGAAUAUGCACCGGAGUACAAAAACGAGGUCUGUGGAUGGUGCAAGACACCUGUCACUUGUGAUGUUUGCAUGGAUUGGGCAAAGAUUGAUGGUGGGGCUCCACCUUUCCUCAACUUUUGUGAACUUCAAGCUUGUCCAUAAGACAAAGUAGUCCCCUCGGAGUGUGUAAAUAUCUCUAUUAAAUACUGAGUACAGUGACCGUGCUGCUUUAAAUGGAUGCUUAUUAUACAUAAAAAUGCAAGAACAGCACAUGAAAAGUCAUUCAAAUGGAAUAAAAAAUAUAAAUGUAUGGAUUUGGUGAAGAUUGUGGAGAAAAAGCAGUGAAUUCCGCUCAGACCAGUCAUUAUGCUCACUUACCCUCCUAUAGCACUGCUGAACUUCUCCCAGUGCCAUGCCUUUGAGGUGCAACAAAGGUUUCAUGUAGUUUUAGUUCAAUCCUCAUCUUCUAGUAAAGUUGACAUCAUGAGCAGAGGACAUUUUGGAGAAAGAAAAUGAUAACACACAGGUCAGGAGGGGCAGAAAGUGUGAGUUCAUGGAACAAAAUAAAUCAUCUCAAUGACUUUCCUCCAAUAAGUGAGCACUUCAGGAGAACUUGGCAUAUGGACGGCAUUGAUUGGCAAUUGUGCCAGGCAGCCUGGUACCCUGGAAUGGAUGCUGCACAUCAUUGCUUCCAUUAAUGGAGUGCAUGCUGACUAUAUAGCUCGGCACAUCAUUGCUUCCAUUAAUGGGGUGCAUGCUGACUAUAUUGCUCGGCACAUCAUUGUUUCCAUUAAUGGAGUGCAUGCUGACUAUUUGGCACAUCAUUGCUUCCAUUAAUGGAGUGCAUGCUGACUAUAUGGCUCGGCACAUCAUUGCUUCCAUUAAUGGAGUGCAUGCUGACUAUAUGGCUCGGCAUAUCGUUGCUUCCAUUAAUGGAGUGCAUGCUGACUAUAUGGCUCGGCACAUCGUUGCUUCCAUUAAUGGAGUGCAUGCUGACUAUAUGGCUCGGCACAUCGUUGCUUCCAUUAAUGGAGUGCAUGCUGACUAUAUGGCUCGGCACAUCGUUGCUUCCAUUAAUGGAGUGCAUGCUGACUAUAUGGCUCGGCACAUCGUUGCUUCCAUUAAUGGAGUGCAUGCUGAC
Non-coding RNA from Pelobates cultripes (western spadefoot toad), 2361 nucleotides. The record is from the annotation of a GenBank genome assembly. NCBI's taxonomy places the organism in Eukaryota, Metazoa, Chordata, Amphibia, Anura, Pelobatidae.